This 331-nucleotide ribosomal RNA is filed under the name Enterococcus durans. Its description in RNAcentral is "bacterial SSU rRNA". It matches the Rfam family "Bacterial small subunit ribosomal RNA", at positions 78 to 403 of the family's 1533-position model. The record is from RNAcentral. Lineage: Bacteria; Bacillati; Bacillota; Bacilli; Lactobacillales; Enterococcaceae.
CACCGGAAAAAGAAGAGUGGCGAACGGGUGAGUAACACGUGGGUAACCUGCCCAUCAGAAGGGGAUAACACUUGGAAACAGGUGCUAAUACCGUAUAACAAUCGAAACCGCAUGGUUUUGAUUUGAAAGGCGCUUUCGGGUGUCGCUGAUGGAUGGACCCGCGGUGCAUUAGCUAGUUGGUGAGGUAACGGCUCACCAAGGCUACGAUGCAUAGCCGACCUGAGAGGGUGAUCGGCCACAUUGGGACUGAGACACGGCCCAAACUCCUACGGGAGGCAGCAGUAGGGAAUCUUCGGCAAUGGACGAAAGUCUGACCGAGCAACGCCGCGUG